UCUACAUAAGACUCAUCAGUGACGCUCAGAUCAAAAAAGUUAUAAAGCCAAACAAGUACAAAGUUGAAGAGCAUUGAGGACCCAAAAUUCCAAAAAGUUGUGCCAAAUACGGCUAAGGUAAUCUAUUCCUGGAAUAAGAAAAUCCUUAGUUUUUCGAAAAAAUCAAAAGUUUUGUAACAGGAAAUUUAUAAAAAUGACCAUAUAAUUGAUAUUCAUGUCAACACCGAAGUGCUGACUACUGGGCUGGUGAUACCAUCGGGGACGAAACGUCCACCAGCAGUGGCAUCGACCCAGUGGUGUAAAUAGUUAUCAAAGGUAC
This 319-nucleotide long non-coding RNA is filed under the name Mytilus galloprovincialis (Mediterranean mussel). Lineage: Eukaryota; Metazoa; Mollusca; Bivalvia; Mytilida; Mytilidae. The record is from RNAcentral.